This 1262-nucleotide long non-coding RNA is filed under the name Salmo salar (Atlantic salmon). RNAcentral's name for it is "lncRNA (ENSSSAG00000118937.1)". Lineage: Eukaryota; Metazoa; Chordata; Actinopteri; Salmoniformes; Salmonidae. The record is from RNAcentral.
GCGACUUCUACCAUUGUCUUAAAUAUAUUUAAUGGUCUCGUUGCAAAAGCUAAAUUGUCGCAAGGGAACUUUUAUUUAUUUAUUUUAUUUCUCCUUUAUUUAACCCGGGUAGCGAAGAUUAUAGCAAACACCACUGAAACUGAAUUGGUGCUCGCUAGCUUUGCAAAUUCAGCUAUUGUUGGAAGCCAGCCAAUAUGAAACAAACUAUUAAAAUUACAAAAGGUUGCAGCAUAUGUUGUGUAAAUGGUGAACUCAUACAGCUGUCAACUCUUGUCAUUUUAAUCCGUUUCACAUUUGCUAGCUACCUUUUAGAUCGAAGCCCAAAUAGAAUGAUAGAAGAUGAUAGAAGCCCAUCUCCUACUGUAAAUAACCUACACACUGUGUGUGUGUGUAGCCAGCCAGCCAGUCAGGUAGAAAAAUGGCAGAAAAAUAAAAGACGGACAUCAGAGUAUUUUUCAGUACACCAAAACGCAAAGCAGAGCAGGCAACAGAUGGCACACAGACAGCAGAGUUGGGGACAGCUAUGCAGGGACAGACUGGCAGAGACAGGGAGUCUCAGACAACCGGGACAUCUUUCUGGAGUGGAUUCUAGAUACAGAAACAUAAUUCCUUUGCCUGCUUGUGUCAUUGUAGGUGAAUUGUAUAGGGAUAGGAUUUGACAUUGUGCUCGAUUUCAAGCAGAUGAAUUUCAGGAGCUGAAUGGUAGUUUGAUCAUACAGUAGCACUCCUCCCACAGCUUUACAAGUAUUCCCUAAAUUUACUUUAUGUUUCUUUGGAAUGGCAAGCAUACCCAGCAUACCUCCAGCAGAAGGAUUGGCCUGCUAGAGUUGUAAUACGUUUGUAGCCUGCGUUGUGUCUGCCUUUUAUACAACAUUUGCUAACAUAAGUACACAUAAAACCCAUGGCAUACAAGGAUGUAAGUUUCCUCUUUUACCUUUAUAAACUCAACUUUCGUUUCUUAAUAUCUGUAUUCAUUAUACUAUUGUUAUUAUUUCCGCUACAAGACCAUGGUGAUUGCCUACGGAGCUGUGAAGGGAACGGCACCUCCAUACCUUCAGGCUCUGAUCAGGCCCUACACCCAAACAAGGGCACUGCGUUCAUCCACCUCUGGCCUGCUGGCCCCCCUACCUCUGAGGAAUCACAGUUCCCGCUCAGCCCAGUCAAAACUGUUCGCUGCUCUGGCACCCCAAUGGUGGAACAAGCUCCCUCACGACGCCAGGACAGCGGAGUCAAUCACCACCUUCCGGAGACACCUGAAACCC